Molecule: transfer RNA, 47 nt
Filed under: Panax ginseng (ginseng)
Lineage: Eukaryota; Viridiplantae; Streptophyta; Magnoliopsida; Apiales; Araliaceae
Also listed under: 1 other name
Description: partial tRNA-Leu
Source: RNAcentral
AAAUCCGUCGACUUUAAAAUCGUGAGGGUUCAAGUCCCUCUAUCCCC